AGAGUUUGAUCAUGGCUCAGAUUGAACGCUGGCGGCAUGCUUAAUACAUGCAAGUCGAACGGUAACAUACUCUUCGGAGUGAUGACGAGUGGCGGACGGGUGAGUAAUACAUAGGAAUCUACCUAGUAGUGGGGGACAACCUGGGGAAACUCAGGCUAAUACCGCAUGUUUCUUACGAGAUAAAGAGGGCCUCUUCUUGAAAGCUCUCGCUAUUAGAUGAACCUAUGUCAGAUUAGCUAGUUGGUAGGGUAAAAGCCUACCAAGGCUACGAUCUGUAGCUGGUUUGAGAGGACGAUCAGCCACACUGGGACUGAGACACGGCCCAGACUCCUACGGGAGGCAGCAGUAGGGAAUAUUGGACAAUGGGCGAAAGCCUGAUCCAGCAAUGCCGCGUGUGUGAAGAAGGCCUGCGGGUUGUAAAGCACUUUUGUUUGGGAGGAAAAGCUUAAAGUUAAUACCUUUAAGUGUUGACGUUACCAAUAGAAUAAGCACCGGCUAACUCUGUGCCAGCAGCCGCGGUAAUACAGAGGGUGCGAGCGUUAAUCGGAAUUACUGGGCGUAAAGCGUGCGUAGGCGGUUAAAUAAGUCGGAUGUGAAAGCCCAAGGCUUAUCCUUGGAAUUGCAUUCGAUACUGUUUAGCUAGAGUACAGUAGAGGGAAGCGGAAUUCCUAGUGUAGCGGUGAAAUGCGUAGAUAUUAGGAAGAAUACC
This 709-nucleotide ribosomal RNA is filed under the name uncultured bacterium. Its description in RNAcentral is "bacterial SSU rRNA". It matches the Rfam family "Bacterial small subunit ribosomal RNA", at positions 8 to 710 of the family's 1533-position model. The record is from RNAcentral.